Long non-coding RNA from Leucoraja erinaceus (little skate), 930 nucleotides. RefSeq lists it as uncharacterized. Lineage: Eukaryota; Metazoa; Chordata; Chondrichthyes; Rajiformes; Rajidae. The record is from RefSeq and is a predicted model, not a curated record. The transcript has 3 exons.
GGUGGGGGGAGUGGUAAGAAAGGUGUGUGCCAGGGAAGCAGCUGGGGAAAUGAGCAGAGGGAGGGGUACCUAAAAUUUGGAGAAUCCAAGAUGCAUUCCAUUAGGUUGGAAGAAACCGAAGCACAAUAUGAGAUGUUCUUCCAAUUUGCAUGUGGCUUGACUCUGGCAUUGGAGGAGGCUGAGGACAGAAAGGUAGGGAUGAGAAUGGAAUUGGAGCAGUUAGCAACAUGGUGCUCCAGCUGGCCUUAGCGGACAGAGCACAAGUGUUCAGUGUAGCCAUCAAUUGGGCAUAAACAUUGCAUUCUGCAAUUUCAGGUUGAACAGCACACCCUUCCCAUCUACCCAGAGUUGGUCAAGAGGGGGAGAGGUUGAAUGAGGAACCAUCUGGGGUGUGAGAAUGAAGAUAGGGUUUGGAAUGGUGAAGUAAUUGAGAGUUUACUUCUGCAUCAGGGGCUCUGUGGGGUCAUAUGAUAUUUGCUAGAUUAUUCAUAUAAAACAUUCUCACCACAGAUACUUAAGUACUUCUCAAGAACAUGGAAGCUUUUCAAAGCAAAACUCAAGAGAUAAGAUAAGUUGGGAAACGCUAAACAGGCAGUAUGUGUGGGUUAGAUCCUGAAUAUUUCUUCAAUUCAUCUUUAUUUUGAGUUCUCUCAAGAAAAUUCUGAACUCGCUAAGAAACACACACAGAUGAUAUUAUUCUCUUCUUCACACAAACAUCUGUGGUUAAAAAAUUAAAAGUGACCCUUCAAAAUGGCUGAAACAUGGAUUCCCAAUACGGAAGUUGCAAUAAAAUGGAGCAAAAUGAUUCUGAGGGAAUAGGUGAAGCGGAGGAUGAAUAAAAAACAGUCAAAACAUUUUGUAUGAACCUGAACAUUUAUUUUAUAUCCACUGGUAAUAUUUUAACCCUGUUUCUAAUAACCUGGCAUAGUU